AAUAUUUUCACAUAUUCGUACGUUUAUACGUACACAUCAUAUGCACAACAUCAAUUCACACAUAAUUGCAUCAGUCGUCCAGAAUCUCGAUUCGGUCGUGUCUCUUCGGUUCAGUCUUAACUUACCAUUGUGUCAAGCCACAAGUUUCUACAAAUAAGCCUCUUCCAUUCACCUUCUUUUGUCAAAGUGUCAUCCCCGGCGUGAAGCCGUGCUAGUCAUGACACUAAUCAAACCUCAAUUUC
This 242-nucleotide long non-coding RNA is filed under the name Medicago truncatula (barrel medic). RNAcentral's name for it is "long non-coding RNA (MTRU_LNC005644)". The record is from RNAcentral. Lineage: Eukaryota; Viridiplantae; Streptophyta; Magnoliopsida; Fabales; Fabaceae.